CCUACGGGAGGCUGCAGUGAGGAAUAUUGGUCAAUGGACGAGAGUCUGAACCAGCCAAGUAGCGUGAAGGAUGACUGCCCUAUGGGUUGUAAACUUCUUUUAUAUGGGAAUAAAACUUUCCACGUGUGGGAUUUUGUAUGUACCAUAUGAAUAAGGAUCGGCUAACUCCGUGCCAGCAGCCGCGGUAAUACGGAGGAUCCGAGCGUUAUCCGGAUUUAUUGGGUUUAAAGGGAGCGUAGGUGGAUUGUUAAGUCAGUUGUGAAAGUUUGCGGCUCAACCGUAAAAUUGCAGUUGAAACUGGCAGUCUUGAGUACAGUAGAGGUGGGCGGAAUUCGUGGUGUAGCGGUGAAAUGCUUAGAUAUCACGAAGAACUCCGAUUGCGAAGGCAGUUCACUGGACUGCAACUGACACUGAGGCUCGAAAGUGUGGGUAUCAAACAGGAUUAGAUACCCUGGUAGUC
Molecule: ribosomal RNA, 460 nt
Filed under: uncultured bacterium
Lineage: Bacteria
Description: partial 16S ribosomal RNA
Rfam family: Bacterial small subunit ribosomal RNA
Source: RNAcentral